Non-coding RNA from Camellia sinensis, 265 nucleotides. The record is from RefSeq and is a predicted model, not a curated record. NCBI's taxonomy places the organism in Eukaryota, Viridiplantae, Streptophyta, Magnoliopsida, Ericales, Theaceae.
GUUUUUCCACAUAAUUCCCCAACAGCAUAAAGGUCUCAUUCUUAUCCUGUCUCCUCUUCUCUGAAUCCCAUCCAAAUCAGUACUCUGCCUCCCCUGCGAAAACCACUACCCGACCAUUCCACCACAUCAAAUCAAGAGAAGAGACGACGGCAUAAUAGGCAUUUGUGCAGACAUUGCAGUGUCAAAGCAUGAUUACUGGUUAUCUUUAGCACCUCUUCCUUUUGAAGUUGUUGUUUCUGCAGGGCGAAAGAGAGUUCGACAAUAG